Molecule: ribosomal RNA, 253 nt
Filed under: uncultured bacterium
Lineage: Bacteria
Description: partial 16S ribosomal RNA
Rfam family: Bacterial small subunit ribosomal RNA
Source: RNAcentral
UACGUAGGGUGCAAGCGUUGUCCGGAAUUAUUGGGCGUAAAGAGCUCGUAGGCGGUCUGUCGCGUCGAAUGUGAAAAUCCGGGGCUCAACCCCGGACCUGCAUUCGAUACGGGCAGACUAGAGUUCGGUAGGGGAGUCUGGAAUUCCUGGUGUAGCGGUGAAAUGCGCAGAUAUCAGGAGGAACACCGGUGGCGAAGGCGGGACUCUGGGCCGAUACUGACGCUGAGGAGCGAAAGCGUGGGGAGCAAACAGG